This 793-nucleotide ribosomal RNA is filed under the name uncultured bacterium. RNAcentral's name for it is "bacterial SSU rRNA". It matches the Rfam family "Bacterial small subunit ribosomal RNA", at positions 8 to 796 of the family's 1533-position model. The record is from RNAcentral.
AGAGUUUGAUCCUGGCUCAGAUUGAACGCUGGCGGCAGGCCUAACACAUGCAAGUCGAGCGGUAGAGAGAAGCUUGCUUCUCUUGAGAGCGGCGGACGGGUGAGUAAUGCCUAGGAAUCUGCCUGGUAGUGGGGGAUAACGUUCGGAAACGGACGCUAAUACCGCAUACGUCCUACGGGAGAAAGCAGGGGACCUUCGGGCCUUGCGCUAUCAGAUGAGCCUAGGUCGGAUUAGCUAGUUGGUGAGGUAAUGGCUCACCAAGGCGACGAUCCGUAACUGGUCUGAGAGGAUGAUCAGUCACACUGGAACUGAGACACGGUCCAGACUCCUACGGGAGGCAGCAGUGGGGAAUAUUGGACAAUGGGCGAAAGCCUGAUCCAGCCAUGCCGCGUGUGUGAAGAAGGUCUUCGGAUUGUAAAGCACUUUAAGUUGGGAGGAAGGGUUGUAGAUUAAUACUCUGCAAUUUUGACGUUACCGACAGAAUAAGCACCGGCUAACUCUGUGCCAGCAGCCGCGGAAAUACAGAGGGUGCAAGCGUUAAUCGGAAUUACUGGGCGUAAAGCGCGCGUAGGUGGUUUGUUAAGUUGGAUGUGAAAUCCCCGGGCUCAACCUGGGAACUGCAUUCAAAACUGACUGACUAGAGUAUGGUAGAGGGUGGUGGAAUUUCCUGUGUUGCGGUGAAAUGCGUAGAUAUAGGAAGGAACACCAGUGGCGAAGGCGACCACCUGGACUAAUACUGACACUGAGGUGCGAAAGCGUGGGGAGCAAACAGGAUUAGAUACCCUGGUAGUCC